CAGCUUGUUGACGGCUCUGCAGAAUUUGGACUCGUGCACUCCCGCAGUUGCGGAUGUCCAAGAAAAAUGACAACUUUGGCUCCAUGGAAGAAUGGAGAGCUAUGAAGGAACAAAAAUCCCCCAGUCUUCCAACAACUGCUGGCUCAGGUAUGUGUGAGGCUGGGAAGUGUCUGUGGGAUGAUUCCUCUGAGAAUUAUGCGGAGCUGACAAGACUGAAAUCCACGGCCAAACUAGAAAAGGAUGG
This is a long non-coding RNA of Choloepus didactylus (southern two-toed sloth), 244 nucleotides long. RefSeq lists it as uncharacterized. The transcript has 3 exons. NCBI's taxonomy places the organism in Eukaryota, Metazoa, Chordata, Mammalia, Pilosa, Megalonychidae. The record is from RefSeq and is a predicted model, not a curated record.